AUAGGGUCUUACCAUAAUAUAAGGAAAGCAGGGUUUCACUUCAGUAAGGUUUUCUCGAAAUAUGAAAAUGUAUUUCACUUGAAGGUGGGUUUUUAGCAACUUGAAAGUACGGUUCAGUGGUGAACUGAUCAAAUGUUCGAUAGAUGGAAAUAUAGUUCGACCAAAAUACGAGAUUUUUCAAUAAUCAAAACACUGAAAGAUCAAUAAAGGUGGGAUAUUUCGAAAUGAAUAACAUGCAAAAUGGGUUCUUUUUUCAUUGGAACAUUUUUCCUAAUGCAACAGUAGUGAAUCUUAGUUAUCUGGUGUUAGAUUGGUUGGAAAAAAAAUCAAGAGCAUGAGAAGGAAUGGGAAUGACAAUGGAUUUCAGAUUGAAGGAAAAAG
This 381-nucleotide long non-coding RNA is filed under the name Gossypium raimondii (Peruvian cotton). RNAcentral's name for it is "long non-coding RNA (GRAI_LNC008904)". The record is from RNAcentral. Lineage: Eukaryota; Viridiplantae; Streptophyta; Magnoliopsida; Malvales; Malvaceae.